GGGCCCUUAGCUCAGUUGGUUAGAGCAGCGGACUCAUAAUCCGUUGGUCGAAGGUUCAAGUCCUUCAGGGCCCA
Molecule: transfer RNA, 74 nt
Filed under: Candidatus Firestonebacteria bacterium RIFOXYA2_FULL_40_8
Lineage: Bacteria; Candidatus Firestoneibacteriota
Description: tRNA-Met
Rfam family: tRNA
About the family: Transfer RNA (tRNA) molecules are approximately 80 nucleotides in length. Their secondary structure includes four short double-helical elements and three loops (D, anti-codon, and T loops).
Source: RNAcentral